UUAGUUUGAUCCUGGCUCAGAACGAACGCUGGCGGCGUGCUUAAUACAUGCAAGUCGUGCGAGAAAGUUUCCUUCGGGAAGCGAGUAAAGCGGCGAACGGGUGCGUAACACGUGGGCAACCUGCCCUCGAGAUGGGGAUAAGCCUUCGAAAGAGGGUCUAAUACCGAAUAACAUCGUUAUUUGACAUCAUUUGACGAUCAAAGGUGGCUUCGGCUACCACUCGAGGAUGGGCCCGCGUUCCAUUAGCUUGUUGGUGAGGUAACGGCUCACCAAGGCUCUGAUGGAUAGCCGACCUGAGAGGGUGAUCGGCCACACUGGGACUGAGAUACGGCCCAGACUCCUACGGGAGGCAGCAGUAGGGAAUUUUGCGCAAUGCCCGAAAGGGUGACGCAGCAACGCCGCGUGGAGGAUGAAGCAUCUUGGUGCGUAAACUCCUGUCAGUUGGGACGAACCGUCUUGGCUCUAAUAUAGCCAAGGCCUGACGGUACCUUCAGAGGAAGCUCCGGCCAACUCCGUGCCAGCAGCCGCGGUAACACGGGGGGAGCAAGCGUUGUUCGGAAUUACUGGGCGUAAAGGGUACGCAGGCGGGAAAGCAGGUCAGAUGUGAAAUCCCAUGGCUCAACUAUGGGUCUGCAUCUGAAACCUCUUUUCUUGAGUAUCGGAGAGGAUAGCGGAACUCCUGGUGUAGCGGUGAAAUGCGUAGAUAUCAGGAGGAACACCGGUGGCGAAGGCGGCUAUCUGGCCGAAUACUGACGCUCAUGUACGAAGGCCGGGGGAGCAAACAGGAUUAGAUACCCUGGUAGUCCCGGCAGUAAACGAUGGGUACUAGGUGUUGGGGGAGUCGACCCCCUCAGUGCCGCAGUAAACGCAUUAAGUACCCCGCCUGGGGAGUACGACCGCAAGGUUGAAACUCAAAGGAAUUGACGGGGGCCCGCACAAGCAGUGGAGCAUGUGGUUUAAUUCGACGCAACGCGAAGAACCUUACCUGGGCUUGAAAUGUACAGGAAACUCUCAGAGAUGAGAGCCCCCCGCAAGGGGUCUGUUCACAGGUGCUGCAUGGCUGUCGUCAGCUCGUGCCGUGAGGUGUUGGGUUAAGUCCCGCAACGAGCGCAACCCCUGUCCUUAGUUGCCAGCAAUUCGGUUGGGGACUCUAAGGAGACUGCCGGUGACAAGCCGGAGGAAGGUGGGGAUGACGUCAAGUCCUCAUGGCCCUUACGUCCAGGGCUACACACGUGCUACAAUGGCUGUUACAGAGGGUCGCAAGACCGCAA
This 1271-nucleotide ribosomal RNA is filed under the name metagenome. Its description in RNAcentral is "bacterial SSU rRNA". It matches the Rfam family "Bacterial small subunit ribosomal RNA", at positions 1 to 1260 of the family's 1533-position model. The record is from RNAcentral.